This 211-nucleotide unclassified non-coding RNA is filed under the name Hevea brasiliensis (rubber tree). The record is from RNAcentral. Lineage: Eukaryota; Viridiplantae; Streptophyta; Magnoliopsida; Malpighiales; Euphorbiaceae.
UGAAAACCAACUCUUUGUAAAUAUUGGGACAAUUAAAGAGAGUCAAGGAUAAUUCCUCUAAUGGAAAUGAAAGAAAACGCUCCUUAUAUUGAUUGAAUGACUAAUAGUGAAUCAACUUUGAUAAUCACUAUUUAGAAGCCUUUUGUCUUUGCUAAAAACACUACCUCUCUACAAGUUAAAUCCUCUAAGAUUAAAGGGUCCAUAAUUCCAA